UGUAUAACAAAGCCAAUUUUACCACAGUUGAUACUGUUAAAAGAAAAACUUCGGCUGAAUUCAAUUUAAAAGAGCUUAAUUGAGCAAAGAAUGAAUCACAAAUUGUGCAGCCUGCUGAGCCAGAGCAGGCUCAGAGACUCCAGUGCAGUCACGUGGUGGAAGAUAAUUUAUGGACAGAAAAAAGAAAGUGAUGGACAGAAAAAGGAAAAGUGACGUACAGAAAAUGGAAGUGAGGAACAGAAACAGCUGGAUUGGUUAUAGCUCAGCAUUUUCCCUUUUUGAACACGGUUCGAACAGUUGGCCACAUUUGAUUGGCCAAAAGUCGAGGAUUGGCAUGAGUGCAGGCUAUAGUGUGUUUACACGUCCACUUGUUGUAGUCCACGAUGUACAGAGAAACCUUUAGGCCAAAUUUAAAAUAUGUAAGGAGGCAGCUUUAGGCUAAACUUGAUUUAACAAUGUAAACAAGAGUUAACUUCCUAUGACAUAUACUUCAAGUCACAGUUUGAGAACCCACCGAGGACAUUGAGGACUUACAGUACCCCCUUAAGGCUUCCCCACCUCUUGUCAUUGGCUAUCCCGUGUCACUAAACAGAAAGGAGUUGCUAAGUCAAGAAUGAAGAUCUUACUGAGUUUGCUAGAGCAAAGCUGCUCAUCCCUGCUUGCAUGUCUUUAGUAUUGAGGGUAAAGGCCUUAGUGCCCUGGAAGGUGAACUUUAGAGGUUGUUAAAGGGUCAUGGAAAAAAGAGGAGGUGGGGUCUUGGAUUGUGGUUGCAGAGCGCUAUAAACUGACCGUAACAGAUGGUAUUCUUUUAAACAGGUAUAAAAGUUUGGUCACAGGGACCCGAGCAAGAGGGGUCAUUGCUGUCCUCUGGGUCCUUGCCUUUGGCAUCGGACUGACUCCAUUCCUGGGGUGGAACAGUAAAGACAGUGCCACCAACAACUGCACAGAACCCUGGGAUGGAACCACGAAUGAAAGCUGCUGCCUUGUGAAGUGUCUCUUUGAGAAUGUGGUCCCCAUGAGCUACAUGGUAUAUUUCAAUUUCUUUGGGUGUGUUCUGCCCCCACUGCUUAUAAUGCUGGUGAUCUACAUCAAGAUCUUCAUGGUGGCCUGCAGGCAGCUUCAGCGCACUGAGCUGAUGGACCACUCGAGGACCACCCUCCAGCGGGAGAUCCAUGCAGCCAAGUCACUGGCCAUGAUUGUGGGGAUUUUUGCCCUGUGCUGGCUACCUGUGCAUGCUGUUAACUGUGUCACUCUUUUCCAGCCAGCUCAGGGUAAAAAUAAGCCCAAGUGGGCAAUGAAUAUGGCCAUUCUUCUGUCACAUGCCAAUUCAGUUGUCAAUCCCAUUGUCUAUGCUUACCGGAACCGAGACUUCCGCUACACUUUUCACAAAAUUAUCUCCAGGUAUCUUCUCUGCCAAGCAGAUGUCAAGAGUGGGAAUGGUCAGGCUGGGGUACAGCCUGCUCUCGGUGUGGGCCUAUGAUCUAGGCUCUCGCCUCUUCCAGGAGAAGAUACAAAUCCACAAGAAACAAAGAGGACACGGCUGGCUGAUUCUCAUUGUGAAAGAUAGCUACAUCUCACAAGGAAAUGGACUGCCUCUCUUGAGCACUUCCCUGGAGCUACCACGUAUCUAGCUAAUAUGUAUGUGUCAGUAGUAGGCUCCAAGGAUUGACAAAUAUAUUUAUGAUCUAUUCAGCUGCUUUUACUGUGUGGAUGAUGCCAACAGCUUGAAUGGAUUCUAACAGACUCUUUUGUUUUUAAAAGUCUGCCUUGUUUAUGGUGGAAAAUUACUGAAACUAUUUUACUGUGAAACACUGUGAACUAUUAUAAUGCAAAUACUUUUUAACUUAGAGGCAAUGGAAAAAUAAAAGUUGACUGUACU
Molecule: small RNA, 1879 nt
Filed under: Pan troglodytes (chimpanzee)
Lineage: Eukaryota; Metazoa; Chordata; Mammalia; Primates; Hominidae
Description: retained intron
Source: RNAcentral